This 210-nucleotide non-coding RNA is filed under the name Marinobacter sp. Lineage: Bacteria; Pseudomonadati; Pseudomonadota; Gammaproteobacteria; Pseudomonadales; Marinobacteraceae. The record is from RNAcentral.
CCUUGCCGCUCGUUUUCAGGUGCUGCCGUGUAAUGCUACACGGGAGUGAAACGGGAAGCCGGUUAAAGUCCGGCGCUGCCCCCGCAACGGUAAAUGAGUCACGAGCGAUCGAAUGCGCCACUGUGCCCCGUGCAUGGGAAGGUGAUUGCUCCGGUUCACCAGUGUGAACCCCUCAUAAGCCCGGAGACCGGCCUGUUAACACACCAGACG